Molecule: ribosomal RNA, 734 nt
Filed under: uncultured Actinomycetes bacterium
Lineage: Bacteria; Bacillati; Actinomycetota; Actinomycetes
Description: bacterial SSU rRNA
Rfam family: Bacterial small subunit ribosomal RNA
Source: RNAcentral
AGUCGAGCGAUGAACACCUUCGGGUGUGAAUUAGCGGCGAACGGGUGAGGAACACGUGAAGAAUCUGCCUUCAACUCUGGGAUAACUCCGGGAAACCGGGGCUAAUACCGGAUAUGAGCCUUGAUCGCAUGAUCGGGGCUGGAAAGUUUUUCGGUUGAAGAUGACUUCGCGGCCUAUCAGCUUGUUGGUGAGGUAAUGGCUCACCAAGGCGACGACGGGUAGCCGGCCUGAGAGGGCGACCGGCCACACUGGGACUGAGACACGGCCCAGACUCCUACGGGAGGCAGCAGUGGGGAAUAUUGGGCAAUGGAGGAAACUCUGACCCAGCGACGCCGCGUGAGGGAUGAAGGCCUUCGGGUUGUAAACCUCUUUCAGUAGGGAAGAAGCGAAAGUGACGGUACCUACAGAAGAAACCCCGGCUAACUAUGUGCCAGCAGCCGCGGUAAUACAUAGGGUGCAAGCGUUGCCCGGAAUUAUUGGGCGUAAAAAGCUCGAAGGUGGUUCCAUACCCCGGAUGUGAAAAACAGGGGUUCAACCCCUGACCUGAAUCCGAUACGGUCAAGCUGGAAUUUGGUAGGGGAAACUGGAAAUUCCGGGGUAACCGGGGGAAUGCCCCAAAUUUCAGGAGGAAACCCCAAUGGCAAAGGGAGGUCUCCUGGGCCCAUACUGACCCCGAAGAACGAAAGCGGGGGGAGCCAACAAGAAUUAAAAACCUGGGAAGCCCCCCCCCCAAA